GAUGAACGCUGGCGGCGUGCCUAAUACAUGCAAGUCGAGCGAAUGGAUUAAGAGCUUGCUCUUAUGAAGUUAGCGGCGGACGGGUGAGUAACACGUGGGUAACCUGCCCAUAAGACUGGGAUAACUCCGGGAAACCGGGGCUAAUACCGGAUAACAUUUUGAACCGCAUGGUUCGAAAUUGAAAGGCGGCUUCGGCUGUCACUUAUGGAUGGACCCGCGUCGCAUUAGCUAGUUGGUGAGGUAACGGCUCACCAAGGCAACGAUGCGUAGCCGACCUGAGAGGUUGAUCGGCCACACUGGGACGGAGACACGGCCCAGACUCCUACGGGAGGCAGCAGUAGGGAAUCUUCCGCAAUGGACGAAAGUCUGACGGAGCAACGCCGCGUGAGUGACGAAGGCUUUCGGGUCGUAAAACUCUGUUGUUAGGGAAGAACAAGUGCUAGUUGAAUAAGCUGGCACCUUGACGGUACCUAACCAGAAAGCCACGGCUAACUACGUGCCAGCCGCCGCCGUAA
This 515-nucleotide ribosomal RNA is filed under the name uncultured bacterium. Its description in RNAcentral is "partial 16S ribosomal RNA". It matches the Rfam family "Bacterial small subunit ribosomal RNA", at positions 28 to 523 of the family's 1533-position model. The record is from RNAcentral.